CACGUGGUCUCGGAGUACCGACAGAGGGGUUGGCCCUCAGCAGCUAAGGAGAGGAUGGGUGUGCAAGUCCUGUAGUAUGCCGGCUGACGACGUAAAAGCUGGGUUAUGCCCUGUAAACCACCCACAUGUAGUGCACAUAUACGUCUACAUGGGUGUUUUCGCCAGUGAAUGAUUGGAGUUGAAUAUAAGAAAAUGCCCGAAACUUCCGCUGACACGAAUACCCCCUUCCACUUCUCUACUUGUGAAGACAGUCAGUUACAUGAAGGCCCUCGGCAAGAUUUACAACAUGCAGUAGAAGCUCGUUUGUUCAUGCCUCCAACCAGCUCGAAAUCUCGGAAACUACGCAGCAAUACAACUAAUAAUCGUCUUCUACCUCACCCGUGGUUUGCUACUGGAUUACAUUUACCAAGCUGAUAGCGUCUUUGACGGCAGAGAACAUUAAAUGCAGAGGAAUAACGUUAAAUAUAUAUGUCGUGUUUUGUUCUACACGGUCUUUGUAUUUCAAAAUGGUGGUACGUAAGGCACCAGGCCUGCGAGGGAGCUGUGCAGCUUGCUGGCGUGUACGACGGCGUCCUUGCUAGGCUUGCAGGCAUAGGGUGUUUUUUGUGUCGUUCUUUUCUGUACUGCUGUCCUGAAAUUAAAUUUGAGGUACAAAAAUGCACAAGCGAUUAAAUAGUCUCUCGUCAUUAAUAUAUACUAAUUGCUGAUAAUCGUUUCCCCCAAAUGUUCUUUUUGUUCAAAAUAAUUAUCAACGUGUUUCAACAGGUUGAUUCUUGGAGUAUAGUUGUACACUUUAUCUGUUUUUUUACGUGAAACAGGUAAAAUAGCCUAUAUUUGGUGGUAAUACGUAUUUUAAUGUGCUGUUAACCAAGAAGAUAAUUAUACGUGAACAUAAUGAGUGCAAAAUUAACAUGUUAAAUGAUGAUAAGGAACCACGUUUUCCUUGUUCUUUUAUAAACGCUCACGUUUAGCUAAGUCUAUAUAGGAAAAUAAUGUGUUUUCGUAAUUUAAAUAAGUUAUAAGCUCGAGGGAAAGGAGAUACUUCAUGUUUUAUCAAAUGAAAACUCUUUACCUAAUGUAUGUGUAAAGCUAUUUUUCCUUGGUCCAUGUAAAAAAGAUGAGAAUUGCAAA
Paramormyrops kingsleyae is the source of this 1131-nucleotide long non-coding RNA. RefSeq lists it as uncharacterized. NCBI's taxonomy places the organism in Eukaryota, Metazoa, Chordata, Actinopteri, Osteoglossiformes, Mormyridae. The record is from RefSeq and is a predicted model, not a curated record.